CCCCCUCACCCUAUAUAAUACCCAGGUUGUCAUCACUCAACACCCCCUACACUCUAAUCAUGCUUCCUUUGCAGUAUCCUAUUCCUUUACUACCCACAAGGGGCUACACACAGAGAGGAGACAAACAAGGACAGAUAAAGGGAUUAAGUUGAUUACAUCGACCCCAGUGCGUAACUGGUACUUAUUUAAUCGACCCCGAAAGGAUGAAAAGCAAAGUCGACCUCGGCGAAAUUUGAACACAGAGCCUAACUUUUCUGCCAGCUCGCCGCCUAUGCAGUAUCCUGUCCCUUAUAUUAUGACGUUUGAACAUCAAGGGUAUGUCCUGGCACUUGCCACCAUCUAUAUCUCCCUCUUCCUUUACUCAACCAUCCCCAUUUAUGUUCUGAUCCCCUCCCUAGUGAAUACGCCCAUCAUUUUGCCAGUAUCUCCAUCGUGUUGUCUCCCACCCUCUAUCUCCUUCUCCUGCAUUUCACUCAGGCUGGGUAACCAUGUAUCUCCUUUGUGGCGGCACACCUGUUUCUGUCUUCAUCCUGAUCUCUCUCUCUCUGGCCUGGUAAACUUGUACUUCCUCUACAGCAACAGACAGAUCACAACAACAGAUGCUGCCCAACACACAGAACCAAACCAGGAAGAUGCUACAGAAUUUCAACUGUGAUACAACUCCCACUGUUCCAGACAGAGUUUGUUAAAACUUGCCAAACCUGUUACUUCACAAUUUGUAAGACAUUUGCCAUGUAUUUUUAUAAGGGGUUGUAAUAAAUAAUAGUUGCUUUGAAUUU
This 779-nucleotide long non-coding RNA is filed under the name Octopus vulgaris (common octopus). The record is from RNAcentral. Lineage: Eukaryota; Metazoa; Mollusca; Cephalopoda; Octopoda; Octopodidae.